Molecule: ribosomal RNA, 310 nt
Filed under: Nematobrycon palmeri (emperor tetra)
Lineage: Eukaryota; Metazoa; Chordata; Actinopteri; Characiformes; Acestrorhamphidae
Description: partial small subunit ribosomal RNA
Rfam family: Bacterial small subunit ribosomal RNA
Source: RNAcentral
UCCGCCAGGGUACUACGAGCGCUAGCUUAAAACCCAAAGGACUUGACGGUGUCUCAGACCCACCUAGAGGAGCCUGUCCUAGAACCGAUAAUCCACGUUUAACCUCACCACCCCUUGCUUAUUCAGCCUAUAUACCGCCGUCGCAAGCUUACCCUGUGAAGGAUAAACAGUAAGCAUAAUGGAAAUAACCCAAAACGUCAGGUCGAGGUGUAGCUUAUGAGGUGGGAAGAGAUGGGCUACAUUUUCUGUAUCAGAAAAUAACGAACGGUAUCAUGAAAUCAAUACCCGAAGGUGGAUUUAGUAGUAAAAA